RNAcentral lists this ribosomal RNA (395 nucleotides) under uncultured bacterium. Its description in RNAcentral is "partial 16S ribosomal RNA". It matches the Rfam family "Bacterial small subunit ribosomal RNA", at positions 523 to 918 of the family's 1533-position model. The record is from RNAcentral.
AUACGUAGGGUGCAAGCGUUAAUCGGAAUUACUGGGCGUAAAGGGUGCGCAGGCGGUUUAUCAAGAAAGGUGUGAAAUCCCCGGGCUCAACCUGGGAAUGGCACUUUUAACUGAUAGGCUAGAGUAUGUCAGAGGGGGGUAGAAUUCCACGUGUAGCAGUGAAAUGCGUAGAGAUGUGGAGGAAUACCGAUGGCGAAGGCAGCCCCCUGGGAUAAUACUGACGCUCAUGCACGAAAGCGUGGGGAGCAAACAGGAUUAGAUACCCUGGUAGUCCACGCCCUAAACGAUGUCAACUAGCUGUUGGGGCCUUCGGGCCUUAGUAGCGCAGCUAACGCGUGAAGUUGACCGCCUGGGGACUACGGUCGCAAGACUAAAACUCAAAGGAAUUGACGGGG